UACAGAGGUCCCAAGCGUUGUUCGGAUUCACUGGGCGUAAAGGGUGCGUAGGUGGUGAGGUAAGUCUGAUGUGAAAGCUCGGAGCUCAACUCCGAAAUGGCAUUGGAAACUACCUUGCUCGAGGGUUGGAGGGGGGACUGGAAUACUUGGUGUAGCAGUGAAAUGCGUAGAUAUCAAGUGGAACACCAGUGGCGAAGGCGAGUCCCUGGACAACUCCUGACACUGAGGCACGAAAGCUAGGGGAGCAAACAGG
This 253-nucleotide ribosomal RNA is filed under the name uncultured bacterium. Its description in RNAcentral is "partial 16S ribosomal RNA". It matches the Rfam family "Bacterial small subunit ribosomal RNA", at positions 524 to 776 of the family's 1533-position model. The record is from RNAcentral.